Molecule: ribosomal RNA, 271 nt
Filed under: uncultured prokaryote
Description: partial 16S ribosomal RNA
Rfam family: Bacterial small subunit ribosomal RNA
Source: RNAcentral
UACGGAGGAUGCGAGCGUUAUCCGGAUUUAUUGGGUUUAAAGGGUGCGCAGGCGGAAGAUUGAGUCAGCGGUGAAAGUUUGCAGCUUAACUGUAAAAUUGCCGUUGAAACUGGUUUUCUUGAGUGUAUAUGAAGUAGGCGGAAUUUGUGGUGUAGCGGUGAAAUGCAUAGAUAUCACAAGGAACUCCGAUUGCGAAGGCAGCUUACUAAAAUACAACUGACGCUCAGGCACGAAGGCGUGGGUAUCAAACAGGAUUAGAUACCCCCGUAGU